Molecule: long non-coding RNA, 798 nt
Organism: Alosa sapidissima (American shad)
Lineage: Eukaryota; Metazoa; Chordata; Actinopteri; Clupeiformes; Clupeidae
Exons: 3
Source: RefSeq, a predicted model, not a curated record
UGUUGAUUUUGUGUCUUAGCAAGGUAGUAGCCUAUACGUUUGUGAUGUAGUAGAGGUCGUGAGAGGAUGAAUGUGGCAUUUUGUUAAAUUUAUAGGCAACACAGUUAAAUGUAGCCAGUCCAGUUGACCAAUAACAUGGUUGUUUGAAUUUGAAAUGGAGUGGGCGGAUCUGUGCAGCUUUCGAGCAAAACGUGGUGUGAGCAAACAUUAACGUUAUUUUAUACAGUCUAUGCUUGUAACUUUAUUUGCAAGACAGAUGGACUAUAGAGACCAGAAAAUGCAUACGUUUACGGUCCGUAUAAGCUUACAGGUUUGUCCAAAUUAAAGAUACCAUAAAUUCUAGUCAUGCCAGAGACGUUGGUCCUACAGAGCUAGAAGGACUUGUCAUAUGAGAUAACAAGGGCUGAAGCCAGUUGGAUCUAAAGUGUCAAGUUAUUCGUUAUCAGGUGUUCCUGGACAGUUUUGAAACCGAGAUGUCUGAACGCCUCAAAUAAUCAGCAGUAAAGACAACAGAGACAAAUUCUCUAAUACCAAGGUCAAUGCAUUUGACUGCUGUCCAGCCCCGGGUUGCCACCGAAAACUUUAUGCAUCUUGGACUGGAAGAUGGUGUGCUAGUAAGGAAGCUAGCUACCACAGCCUUUGCCACCACAUCUCAGUGUUGGGAGGGAAGUUCACUCACUGCACAACUCUACCAGCUGUACCUUUCCUCCUCAGCCAUGAUCCGUAACCACCAUGGUUUUCUUUCUGGGCCAGAAGACUUUGCAAACAAAUAAGCAAUAAAUGAUCAUGCAUUACAAA